GACGUAGGUGGCGAACGUUAUCCGGAAUUAUUGGGCGUAAAGGAUGCGUAGAUGGUGUAGUAAGUUAUCGGUGGCAAAUCGAGGCUCAACCUCGUGGAAGUCGGUAAUACUGCUAUGCUAGAGGAUAGGAGAGGUUAACGGAACUCCCUGUGGAGCGGUGAAAUGCGUAGAUAUCACUUGGAACGCCAAAGGUGAAGACAGUCUGCUGGGGAUCUGCUGACGCUGAGACACGAAAGCCAGGGGAGCGAACGGG
Molecule: ribosomal RNA, 253 nt
Filed under: uncultured bacterium
Lineage: Bacteria
Description: partial 16S ribosomal RNA
Rfam family: Bacterial small subunit ribosomal RNA
Source: RNAcentral